AGUGAACGCUGGCGGUAGGCCUAACACAUGCAAGUCGAACGGCAGCACAGUAAGAGCUUGCUCUUACGGGUGGCGAGUGGCGGACGGGUGAGGAAUACAUCGGAAUCUACUUUUUCGUGGGGGAUAACGUAGGGAAACUUACGCUAAUACCGCAUACGACCUACGGGUGAAAGCAGGGGAUCUUCUGACCUUGCGCGAUUGAAUGCGCCGAUGUCGGAUUAGCUAGUUGGCGGGGUAAAGGCCCACCCAGGCGACGAUCCGUAGCUGGUCUGAGAGGAUGAUCAGCGACACUGGAACUGAGACACGGUCAAGACUCCUACGGGAGGCAGCAGUGGGGAAUAUUGGACAAUGGGCGCAAGCCUGAUCCAGCCAUACCGCGUGGGUGAAGAAGGCCUUCGGGUUGUAAAGCCCUUUUGUUGGGAAAGAAAAGCAGCAGGUUAAUACCCAGCUGUUCUGACGGUACCCAAAGAAUAAGCACCGGCUAACUUCGUG
RNAcentral lists this ribosomal RNA (492 nucleotides) under uncultured bacterium. Its description in RNAcentral is "partial 16S ribosomal RNA". It matches the Rfam family "Bacterial small subunit ribosomal RNA", at positions 29 to 507 of the family's 1533-position model. The record is from RNAcentral.